AGGAAUAAGAAGCUGAAUCCGGGUUUUUCGCCCGGAACGGGGGAUUUCCAUUAGUGGGGUGAAUCACACGCAGUGUGUAGGGCUUACACCUUAGUGCCCGAAUCCGUCAACUAACCUCGUAAGCUGAGAAAGGUGGACAU
Regulatory RNA element from Peptococcaceae bacterium CEB3, 140 nucleotides. It matches the Rfam family "c-di-AMP riboswitch aptamer (ydaO/yuaA leader)". From Rfam's summary of the family: This family represents a conserved RNA structure found upstream of the ydaO and yuaA genes in Bacillus subtilis and related genes in other bacteria. Lineage: Bacteria; Bacillati; Bacillota; Clostridia; Eubacteriales; Peptococcaceae. The record is from Rfam.